AAUAGAGGCGCGGCAGACAAGAGUACCUGAGGGGAGCCCGACCGGGGCUGCGAUCCUGAGCGAAAGGGAAUGCCGCCGAAACGCGCGGCGCUGGCCCUGCGGCGCGUUGGUCACGAGGAAAACAUCUUUGUGACUGUCAUGGGUGAGCCAUGGAGCGCUAUUCGG
RNAcentral lists this non-coding RNA (165 nucleotides) under bovine gut metagenome. RNAcentral's name for it is "Lysine riboswitch". It matches the Rfam family "Lysine riboswitch aptamer". From Rfam's summary of the family: Riboswitches are metabolite binding domains within certain messenger RNAs that serve as precision sensors for their corresponding targets. Allosteric rearrangement of mRNA structure is mediated by ligand binding, and this results in modulation of gene expression. The record is from RNAcentral.